GCUAACAGAAGCGCCUUUAUGUAGAAUGUGUUUUGUCCUUUUGGAGAAGACAAAGAAUUGUUGAAAAAGCAGACAGCUGCUUGUACUGGCAGGAGAAUGAGAAGAGCUUUUCAGCAUGCACUCUUCCACCCUUCCUCAGCUGAAUCACCACCGUCUUCCUCUUUACCUCAUUUUGCUCUCUCUUUCCCUGGUCCAGGAACAUAGACGACAUCACCCUAUGCUUUUGCCUCCAACUCUGGGAAAACAGAACAGUCUAAUCCCUCUUUCUCUGGUUAAACCUGCAUAAGUCUCAACUCUAAUACUUUAAGCAAGUCUGACAGUUGAUAAACUUCACCUUGACUCAUAAUCAUCCUCUCAGUCUCUCUCCUUCACAAACUCACAGAUCACUCAAUGUUCCAAGAUUCAUGUAAAAAGAAGUCUUUUGUUCUAAUCACUGAGAACUUCCGGAGAAAAGAAGAAAGUUCUUCAGGGAUCUGAUGCCUACAUGCUACCUUCCUGGGUGCCAUUGGAGCUCUGAAGUUUUACCAGUUCCCCUUUCUGACAGAAGUGCCUGGGACGAAAGUCAAGAGACCUGGUGCCUGAUUCUUCAGCCCAAGCCAGUAAGCAGGACACAGCGGAGCACUCGUGGCCUCGUCAGAAGAGUAUUCAUGCCGAAUGAGCUCCGAGGAGUGCUGGAGGAAUUACUCUGUGAUUGCUUGCCAGCUUCCCCCUGUACUGGGAUCUGAGAGGAGGCAAGAUAAGCCUCCCUGUAAAAUCCUCACACCUGCUUAGACUCUGCCUCAUGCUGGCUACGCUGCCACUUUCCCCAUCUUUCCCCCACACUAGACAACAUUAAUCCAUGAUGAUAGCUAUUCCAGCAGAGCCAGAAUCUGGUGUCAGAGUCUUUUUCAAGAUAGCUCUGUAGGCAGCCACUUUGGAUCAUCCAGUCAGCAUGAGAGCGGAGACUUGUUUGCAGUCCUGCUUCCGAGUGAAUUUGUGUAAAAGUAAUUCUAAAAUCAAUGUCCAGAGAAUAGGGUUAAGAGGACAUUGGGGAAGGAACGGGCAGAGUCAGGGCUACUGGAGAACAUAGCUAUUACUUAGGUGGGGCUGCCUCAUGGCAGCCCAGGUAUAACAUGCCAGCCUUCAGAUAGGCAUGGUGAUCUCUUCCCAUUGUAUUUCCCCACUGUGUGUGUGUGUGUGUGUGACUGUGUAUCCAAGACCCAAGAUAAAUGGCUGGAGCUGUGGGUUCAGUUUGCAACCACGGAGCAAGAGGGAUCUCCCUGAUGGAGAUCAAACUGAUGUCCUUGAUUGCCCUAGUGUGGUUUUCAACCAGCUAAGCUAGCUUGUGACCAGCAGAGAAAAAUAAGGGCUCAUUGUUCAAAGUGUGGUCUGUGGCCAGCUUGUUGGCCUCCUCUGGGAAUGCGUUAGAAAUGCAGAAUCUCAAGCCUCGUUCCAGAGCUACUGAAAUAGUGAUUCAGAGGCCACGUGUGGUGGCUCACACCUGUAAUUCUAGCACUUUGGGAGGCCGAGGUAGGAGGAUUGCUUGAGGGCAGGAA
This is a non-coding RNA of Macaca mulatta (Rhesus monkey), 1535 nucleotides long. NCBI's taxonomy places the organism in Eukaryota, Metazoa, Chordata, Mammalia, Primates, Cercopithecidae. The record is from RefSeq and is a predicted model, not a curated record.